GACGAACGCUGGCGGCGUGCCUAAUACAUGCAAGUCGAACGAGAGCGAUCGGUGCUUGCACUGGUCAAUCUAGUGGCGAACGGGUGAGUAACACGUGGGUAACCUGCCCAUCAGAGGGGGAUAACAUUCGGAAACGAAUGCUAAAACCGCAUAGGUCUUCGAACCGCAUGGUUUGAAGAGGAAAAGAGGCGCAAGCUUCUACUGAUGGAUGGACCCGCGGUGCAUUAGCUAGUUGGUGAGGUAACGGCUCACCAAGGCCGUGAUGCAUAGCCGACCUGAGAGGGUGAUCGGCCACAUUGGGACUGAGACACGGCCCAAACUCCUACGGGAGGCAGCAGUAGGGAAUCUUCCGCAAUGGACGCAAGUCUGACGGAGCAACGCCGCGUGAGUGAAGAAGGUUUUCGGAUCGUAAAACUCUGUUGUUAGAGAAGAACAAGUGCUAGAGUAACUGUUAGCGCCU
This 460-nucleotide ribosomal RNA is filed under the name Granulicatella adiacens. Its description in RNAcentral is "bacterial SSU rRNA". It matches the Rfam family "Bacterial small subunit ribosomal RNA", at positions 28 to 477 of the family's 1533-position model. The record is from RNAcentral. Lineage: Bacteria; Bacillati; Bacillota; Bacilli; Lactobacillales; Carnobacteriaceae.